AGCCUGGUGGUGUAGUAGCAGCACAUCCCAUCAUCACAGGCUUCUGAGCAACGAACUCAGAUGAGAUGUCGAGGUUAGAAAGGUAGUAGGUUCAAAUCCUACCCAGGCUA
Daldinia decipiens is the source of this 110-nucleotide non-coding RNA. The record is from the annotation of a RefSeq genome assembly. NCBI's taxonomy places the organism in Eukaryota, Fungi, Ascomycota, Sordariomycetes, Xylariales, Hypoxylaceae.